UACGUAGGGUGCGAGCGUUAAUCGGAAUUACUGGGCGUAAAGUGUGCGCAGGCGGCACCGCAAGUCGAGUGUGAAAGCCCCGGGCUUAACUUGGGAAUUGCGCUCGAAACUAUGGUGCUGGAGUGUGGCAGAGGAAGGUGGAAUUCCACGUGUAGCGGUGAAAUGCGUAGAGAUGUGUAGGAACACCGAUGGCGAAGGCAGCCUUCUGGGCCAACACUGACGCUCAUGCACAAAAGCGUGGGGAGCAAACAGG
Molecule: ribosomal RNA, 253 nt
Filed under: uncultured bacterium
Lineage: Bacteria
Description: partial 16S ribosomal RNA
Rfam family: Bacterial small subunit ribosomal RNA
Source: RNAcentral